CCUACGGGAGGCAGCAGUCGAGAAUCAUUCACAAUGGGGGAAACCCUGAUGGUGCGACGCCGCGUGGGGGAAUGAAGGUCUUCGGAUUGUAAACCCCUGUCAUGUGGGAGCAAAUUAAAAAGAUAGUACCACAAGAGGAAGAGAUGGCUAACUCUGUGCCAGCAGCCGCGGUAAUACAGAGGUCUCAAGCGUUGUUCGGAAUCACUGGGCGUAACGCGUGCGUAGGCUGUUUCGUAAGUCGUGUGUGAAAGGCGCGGGCUCAACCCGCGGACGGCACAUGAUACUGCGAGACUAGAGUAAUGGAGGGGGAACCGGAAUUCUCGGUGUAGCAGUGAAAUGCGUAGAUAUCGAGAGGAACACUCGUGGCGAAGGCGGGUUCCUGGACAUUAACUGACGCUGAGGCACGAAGGCCAGGGGAGCGAAAGGGAUUAGAUACCCGGGUAGUC
This 446-nucleotide ribosomal RNA is filed under the name uncultured bacterium. RNAcentral describes it as "partial 16S ribosomal RNA". It matches the Rfam family "Bacterial small subunit ribosomal RNA", at positions 338 to 795 of the family's 1533-position model. The record is from RNAcentral.